This 272-nucleotide long non-coding RNA is filed under the name Olea europaea (common olive). RNAcentral's name for it is "long non-coding RNA (OEUR_LNC012600)". The record is from RNAcentral. Lineage: Eukaryota; Viridiplantae; Streptophyta; Magnoliopsida; Lamiales; Oleaceae.
UUUCACAAAAAUUAUGCUACAAGAUCAUUCUUUAUGUAGUAGGUAAACAAGAUCAAUAAUAUUAUCAUCAGUUAAGAUAAUUUGAAAGAAUUAAGAACAGACAAAGCACUAAUGUAUUGUUUUACUUGACACAGUUGGAGCAUAAUACACAAAAAUACAGCACAUAAAAGUCUUAGCAAGUGUAUCACAUGGUUCAUUCUAACAGUGAACCUGCAGAGCACAAUCAUACAACAGUAGCAGCAUGUUCUACAGGAGAGAUAACAAGAGUAAUA